UACGUAGGGGGCAAGCGUUGUCCGGAUUUAUUGGGCGUAAAGAGCGUGUAGGCGGCCAGUCAAGUCUGCUGUGAAAACUCGAGGCUCAACCUCGAGCUGUCGGUGGAAACUGUCUGGCUAGAGUCCGGAAGAGGAGAGUGGAAUUCCUGGUGUAGCGGUGAAAUGCGCAGAUAUCAGGAAGAACACCUAUGGCGAAGGCAGCUCUCUGGGACGGUACUGACGCUGAGACGCGAAAGCGUGGGGAGCGAACAGG
This 253-nucleotide ribosomal RNA is filed under the name uncultured bacterium. Its description in RNAcentral is "partial 16S ribosomal RNA". It matches the Rfam family "Bacterial small subunit ribosomal RNA", at positions 524 to 776 of the family's 1533-position model. The record is from RNAcentral.